This 369-nucleotide ribosomal RNA is filed under the name uncultured bacterium. RNAcentral describes it as "bacterial SSU rRNA". It matches the Rfam family "Bacterial small subunit ribosomal RNA", at positions 527 to 898 of the family's 1533-position model. The record is from RNAcentral.
GGAGGGUGCAAGCGUUAUCCGGAUUCACUGGGUUUAAAGGGUGCGUAGGCGGGCAGGUAAGUCAGUGGUGAAAUCCCCGAGCUUAACUCGGGAACUGCCAUUGAUACUAUCUGUCUUGAAUAUUGUGGAGGUAAGCGGAAUAUGUCAUGUAGCGGUGAAAUGCUUAGAUAUGACAUAGAACACCUAUUGCGAAGGCAGCUUACUACGCAUAUAUUGACGCUGAGGCACGAAAGCGUGGGGAUCAAACAGGAUUAGAUACCCUGGUAGUCCACGCCCUAAACGAUGAUUACUCGACAUUUGCGAUACACAGUAAGUGUCUGAGCGAAAGCAUUAAGUAAUCCACCUGGGAAGUACGACCGCAAGGUUGAA